Gigantopelta aegis is the source of this 433-nucleotide long non-coding RNA. RefSeq lists it as uncharacterized. Lineage: Eukaryota; Metazoa; Mollusca; Gastropoda; Neomphalida; Peltospiridae. The record is from RefSeq and is a predicted model, not a curated record. The transcript is spliced from 2 exons.
GAGGAUUUGUGGUUGAAAGAUUUGUGAGCCUGUAAUCAAGUACGAACAACGGGUAACAUUUAAAUCUCUUCGUGGAAUCAACUCUGGAUUGAGAUGUACUUUGAUGCGUUUAGGUGGUUUUGUGAAGAACAAUCAUGCUUUCAUCCAAAAUAAUGAAGACUGUCACAAGUGCUUAGAUAACUAAAAGAAACAACACAUAAAUCCAAAGUACCCCAUACAUUUUUCCAGCACAACUGCUCUAUCAAAAGAAAUUUGACCUAGCCGGAAGUUAUUUGGUUUAGUUAUGGAACGGCCUGAGUGUAAUAAAGUUCUGUUCUGUACUACCUCUACAGUUUUUGUUGAUCCAUGUAUUAAUAGUAGGAAGGUAACUAGUAUUUGUGUGUGUGUGUGUAUUGGGGGGGGGGGGGGGGGGGGGGCAGAUGAAUUAUUGGAA